RNAcentral lists this ribosomal RNA (634 nucleotides) under uncultured marine bacterium. Its description in RNAcentral is "bacterial SSU rRNA". It matches the Rfam family "Bacterial small subunit ribosomal RNA", at positions 57 to 699 of the family's 1533-position model. The record is from RNAcentral.
GCAGGUCGAGCGAAGCUUUUCAGUAGUUUACUACAGAAAAUGACUGAGCGGCGAACGGGUGAGUAACGCGUGAGCAAUCUACCUUAGUUACAGGGAUAGCCCGAGGAAACUCGGAUUAAUACCUGAUAUUCUUUAUUUCUCGCAUGAGAAUAAAAGGAAAGGUCAGCCGAACUAAGAUGAGCUCGCGUUCUAUCAGCUAGUUGGUGAGGUAAAAGCUUACCAAGGCUACGACGGAUAGCUGGUCUGAGAGGACGAUCAGCCACACUGGGACUGAGACACGGCCCAGACUCCUACGGGAGGCUGCAGCAGGGAAUAUUGUGCAAUGAACGAAAGUUUGACACAGCGACACCGCGUGUGGGAUGACGGAUCUAGGUUUGUAAACCACUUUCAGGAGGGAAGAAAAUGACGGUACCUCCACAAGAAGCCCCGGCCAACUACGUGCCAGCAGCCGCGGUAAUACGUAGGGGGCGAGCGUUGUCCGGAUUUAUUGGGCGUAAAGAGCUCGUAGGCGGUUCAACAAGUCGGUCGUGAAAGUUCAGGGCUCAACCCUGAAAUGUCGAUCGAUACUGUUGUGACUAGGAUACGGUAGAGGUGAGUGGAAUUCCGAGCGUACCGGUGAAAUGCGUACAUAUUC